RNAcentral lists this transfer RNA (74 nucleotides) under Danio rerio (zebrafish). RNAcentral describes it as "tRNA-Ile (TAT) (tRNA-Ile-TAT-2-1, tRNA-Ile-TAT-2-2)". It matches the Rfam family "tRNA". From Rfam's summary of the family: Transfer RNA (tRNA) molecules are approximately 80 nucleotides in length. Their secondary structure includes four short double-helical elements and three loops (D, anti-codon, and T loops). The record is from RNAcentral. Lineage: Eukaryota; Metazoa; Chordata; Actinopteri; Cypriniformes; Danionidae.
GCUCCAGUGGCGCAGUCGGUCAGCGCGCGGUACUUAUAAUGCCGAGGUUGUGAGUUCGAGCCUCACCUGGAGCA